GACGAACGCUGGCGGCGUGCUUAACACAUGCAAGUCGAACGAUGAAGCCGGAGCUUGCUCUGGUGAAUUAGUGGCGAACGGGUGAGUAACACGUGAGUAACCUGCCCUUGACUCUGGGAUAACUGCGGGAAACUGUAGCUAAUACCGGAUACGACCCUCGGAGGCAUCUCCUGGGGGUGGAAAGAAUUUCGGUCAAGGAUGGACUCGCGGCCUAUCAGCUCGUUGGUGAGGUAAAGGAUCACCAAGGCGACGACGGGUAGCCGGCCUGAGAGGGUGAACGGCCACACUGGGACUGAGACACGGCCCAGACUCCUGCGGGAGGCAGCAGUGGGGAAUAUUGCACAAUGGGCGCAAGCCUGAUGCAGCAACGCCGCGUGAGGGAUGACGGCCUUCGGGUUGUAAACCUCUUUUAGCAGGGAAGAAGCGAAAGUGACGGUACCUGCAGAAAAAGCACCGGCUAACUACGUGCCAGCCGCCGCCGUAA
This 484-nucleotide ribosomal RNA is filed under the name uncultured bacterium. Its description in RNAcentral is "partial 16S ribosomal RNA". It matches the Rfam family "Bacterial small subunit ribosomal RNA", at positions 28 to 523 of the family's 1533-position model. The record is from RNAcentral.